UGGGGAAUUUUGGACAAUGGGCGAAAGCCUCAUCCAGCAAUGCCGCGUGUGUGAAGAAGGCCUUCGGGUUGUAAAGCACUUUUGUCCGGAAAGAAAUCCUUGGCUCUAAUACAGUCGGGGGAUGACGGUACCGGAAGAAUAAGCACCGGCUAACUACGUGCCAGCAGCCGCGGUAAUACGUAGGGUGCAAGCGUUAAUCGGAAUUACUGGGCGUAAAGCGUGCGCAGGCGGUUUGCUAAGACCGAUGUGAAAUCCCCGGGCUCAACCUGGGAACUGCAUUGGUGACUGGCAGGCUAGAGUAUGGCAGAGGGGGGUAGAAUUCCACGUGUAGCAGUGAAAUGCGUAGAGAUGUGGAGGAAUACCGAUGGCGAAGGCAGCCCCCUGGGCCAAUACUGACGCUCAUGCACGAAAGCGUGGGGAGCAAACAGGAUUAGAUACCCUGGUAGUCCACGCCCUAAACGAUGUCAACUAGUUGUUGGGGAUUCAUUUCCUAGUAACGUAGCUAACGCGUGAAGUUGACCGCCUGGGGAGUACGGUCGCAAG
RNAcentral lists this ribosomal RNA (543 nucleotides) under uncultured bacterium. RNAcentral describes it as "partial 16S ribosomal RNA". It matches the Rfam family "Bacterial small subunit ribosomal RNA", at positions 355 to 892 of the family's 1533-position model. The record is from RNAcentral.